UACUUAGUCUCAGCAAGCCACUCCCCAACCACUGUGUUUGUUUUUCCCGCAUCAAAACACGGAACACCCCCACCAUAACCAUCAACCACCAUCAUCGAGACCCUUAUCGAUCUCCAUCGUCACGUGAAAACUGGCGCCACCGAAGUGUAGUCACUGCCAAGUCCCACCAUCACAGAGAAGCCACCUGGCCGCGCCAACCCCCAUUCACUGCUACCACUCCUCCACCAUAAACCACCGCCUUUAACAAGUCUCUGUUUUGCACCACCGAAGUGUAGCCGCUGCCUCCCGCCUCCCUUUCGUAGCUGCAGCCCGAGCGGAAACCGAGAACCACCAAUCCAAGCUGCUGCACCACCGCAAACCGCCAGCCCCGUCCGUUGACCCCUUUUUCCGCAGCCGUUCAUCGCAGUUACGCGGCCCCUCACAUCACCGACGCACCUCUGUUUUGGUUCUCAAAAAACAGAGCAUCGCUCCCUCCACGUUGAGCUACAACCCAGCCACCCCAUGCAGCCACUACUCAACCCUCUUCAGCGCCGGGAAGACUACACAGCACCGCCGAUCUAUAGAGCCCAGGACCACUGUUUCCCCUCACGUGUUCAGCCUGCUGCCCCACCACAGUAGACAACCGCCCAGCUCGCCGCCCAUCGUGCUCUCCAUUUCUCGAUGAGCCGCUGCCUCGCAAACUCCUAUUUUUCGAAACAUGGCUUUACUUUCUACGAACAAAAGUUCUACUGAAGCUUUGAUUAGUUGAUAAUUUUUGUUUCAUAAUUCCUCCAUAUCCAAGAUCAGAGGCAUCUAUUUCAAGGAUUUUCAAAGUAUGAGGAGAUGGGAGUCCUAAGCAUGGUGACGAUUGAAGAUUGCUCAGUACUGUGGUGGGAAAAUUUUCAAAAGUUAAGAAAUCCUGGUGACGAGAUUAUUAGAGGUCGAAUUCAAGGCAUAUAUAAUACACUGCAGGAGUCAGAUGAUAUGGAGAGUCCAACUGAGGACCUGGAUUAGGAAUGGUGAGCAUGAUUAAGCUGAGGAAAGGAUGUUAAAUGAAGAAAUACUAAUGUCUUUUAGAUUUGAUGUCUUUUAGAUUUAAUUAUGUUUUUGCUUUAGUAGGACUUAUGGAAUUAUCAAUUUGCUACGUUAUGACUACCAGGAGAUUGUGGACCCCUUGGUUUAUUAUUAUUGCAAUAAUGACUUU
This is a long non-coding RNA of Juglans regia (Persian walnut), 1183 nucleotides long. RefSeq lists it as uncharacterized. The record is from RefSeq and is a predicted model, not a curated record. The transcript is spliced from 6 exons. NCBI's taxonomy places the organism in Eukaryota, Viridiplantae, Streptophyta, Magnoliopsida, Fagales, Juglandaceae.